RNAcentral lists this ribosomal RNA (253 nucleotides) under uncultured bacterium. Its description in RNAcentral is "partial 16S ribosomal RNA". It matches the Rfam family "Bacterial small subunit ribosomal RNA", at positions 524 to 776 of the family's 1533-position model. The record is from RNAcentral.
UACGUAGGGGGCUAGCGUUGUCCGGAAUCAUUGGCGUAAGCGCGAGCGUAGGCGGCCCGGUAAGUCCGCUGUGAAAGUCAAAGGCUCAACCUUUGAAUGUCAGCGGAUACUGCCGGGCUAGAGUCCGGAAGAGGCGAGUGGAAUCCUGGUGGUAGCGGUGGAAUGCGCAGAUAUCAGGAGGAACAGCCAACGGCGAAGGCAGCUCGCUGGGACGGUACUGACGCUGAGGCGCGAAGCGUGGGGAGCGAACAGG